RNAcentral lists this ribosomal RNA (253 nucleotides) under uncultured bacterium. RNAcentral describes it as "partial 16S ribosomal RNA". It matches the Rfam family "Bacterial small subunit ribosomal RNA", at positions 524 to 776 of the family's 1533-position model. The record is from RNAcentral.
UACGGAGGGGGCCAGCGUUGCUCGGAAUUAUUGGGCGUAAAGGGCGCGUAGGCGGUUCGGUAAGUUUGAUGUGAAAUCCCAUGGCUCAACCAUGGAACUGCAUCUCAUACUGCCGGACUAGAGUCUGGGAGAGGGAAGUGGAAUUCCCGGUGUAGCGGUGAAAUGCGUAGAUAUCUGGAGGAACACCGGUGGCGAAGGCGGCAUCCUGGACCAAUUCUGACGCUGAGGAGCGAAAGCCAGGGGAGCAAACGGG